Molecule: small nucleolar RNA, 133 nt
Filed under: Cyanoderma ruficeps (rufous-capped babbler)
Lineage: Eukaryota; Metazoa; Chordata; Aves; Passeriformes; Timaliidae
Description: Small nucleolar RNA SNORA72 (ENSCRFG00000014808.1)
Rfam family: Small nucleolar RNA SNORA72
About the family: U72 is a member of the H/ACA class of snoRNAs. The snoRNA gene is located in intron 4 of the ribosomal L30 protein gene in human, mouse and chicken.
Source: Rfam by way of RNAcentral
AUGCGAAUAUUCUCGCUGUCCUGAUAUUUCUGUGAUCAGGGGAGGCUAGACAUUCGCUAGAGUAAAACUGCAUUGUGUCCUCCAGGACUAGAUUAUUGUUCUAGUCCUGGCUUUUUAAAUGCUGGUGACAGGG